Molecule: small nuclear RNA, 192 nt
Filed under: Salmo salar (Atlantic salmon)
Lineage: Eukaryota; Metazoa; Chordata; Actinopteri; Salmoniformes; Salmonidae
Description: U2 spliceosomal RNA (ENSSSAG00000082748.1)
Rfam family: U2 spliceosomal RNA
About the family: U2 is a small nuclear RNA (snRNA) component of the spliceosome (involved in pre-mRNA splicing). Complementary binding between U2 snRNA (in an area lying towards the 5' end but 3' to hairpin I) and the branchpoint sequence (BPS) of the intron results the bulging out of an unpaired adenosine, on the BPS, which initiates a nucleophilic attack at the intronic 5' splice site, thus starting the first of two transesterification reactions that mediate splicing.
Source: RNAcentral
AUCGCUUCUCGGCCUUUUGGCUCAGAUCAAGUGUAGUAUCUGUUCUUAUCAGUUUAAUAUCCGAUACGUCCCCCAUCGGGGGACUACAUAUUAAAUGGAUUUUUCGAACAGGGAGUCGGAAAUGGGGCUUGCUCCGUCCGGCUCCACGCAUCGACCCGGUAUUGCAGUACCUCCGGGAACGGUGCAACACUU